Molecule: ribosomal RNA, 444 nt
Filed under: uncultured bacterium
Lineage: Bacteria
Description: partial 16S ribosomal RNA
Rfam family: Bacterial small subunit ribosomal RNA
Source: RNAcentral
CCUACGGGGGGCAGCAGUGGGGAAUAUUGGGCAAUGGGCGCAAGCCUGACCCAGCAACGCCGCGUGAAGGAAGAAGGCUUUCGGGUUGUAAACUUCUUUUCUGGGGGACGAACAAAUGACGGUACCCCAGGAAUAAGCCACGGCUAACUACGUGCCAGCAGCCGCGGUAAUACGUAGGUGGCAAGCGUUAUCCGGAUUUAUUGGGUGUAAAGAGUGGCGUAGGUGGCAUCAUAAGUAGCUAGGGAAAUCUGGUGGCUCAACCAUUCAGACUAUUAGCUAAACUGUUAAGCUCGAGACCGUUAGGGGUAACUGGAAUUUCUAGUGGAGGAGUGAAAUCCGUAGAUAUUAGAAGGAACACCAAUAGCGUAGGCAGGUUACUGGGACGGUUCUGACACUAAGGCACGAAAGCGUAGGGAGCAAACGGGAUUAGAUACCCGAGUAGUC